GCUGAUAUGGCUCAGUUGGUAGAGCGUAUCCUUGGUAAGGAUGAGGUCCCCAGUUCGACUCUGGGUAUCAGCACCA
This 76-nucleotide transfer RNA is filed under the name Aeromonas salmonicida subsp. smithia. Its description in RNAcentral is "tRNA-Thr". It matches the Rfam family "tRNA". From Rfam's summary of the family: Transfer RNA (tRNA) molecules are approximately 80 nucleotides in length. Their secondary structure includes four short double-helical elements and three loops (D, anti-codon, and T loops). Lineage: Bacteria; Pseudomonadati; Pseudomonadota; Gammaproteobacteria; Aeromonadales; Aeromonadaceae. The record is from RNAcentral.